RNAcentral lists this ribosomal RNA (706 nucleotides) under uncultured bacterium. Its description in RNAcentral is "bacterial SSU rRNA". It matches the Rfam family "Bacterial small subunit ribosomal RNA", at positions 67 to 781 of the family's 1533-position model. The record is from RNAcentral.
CGGUGAUAGCAAUAUCAUAGUGGCGCACGGGUGCGUAACACGUAUGCAACCUACCUAUUAUUGGGGGAUAGCCUUUGGAAACGGUUAUUAAUACCGCAUAAUACGAUUGACUGGCAUCGGUUGAUUGUUAAAGCUUCGGCGACAAUAGAUGGGCAUGCGUCCAAUUAGUUAGUUGGUUAGGUAACGGCUGACCAAGACGAUGAUUGGUAGGGGAUCUGAGAGGAUAAUCCCCCACACUGGCACUGAGAUACGGGCCAGACUCCUACGGGAGGCAGCAGUAGGGAAUAUUGGGCAAUGGGCGGAAGCCUGACCCAGCCAUGCCGCGUGCAGGAAGAAGGCGUUAUGCGUUGUAAACUGCUUUUUUAUAGGAAGAAGGAUCCCUUGCGAGGGAAGGUGACGGUACUAUAAGAAUAAGCACCGGCUAACUCCGUGCCAGCAGCCGCGGUAAUACGGAGGGUGCAAGCGUUGUCCGGAUUUAUUGGGUUUAAAGGGUGCGUAGGCGGUUUAUUAAGUCAGUGGUGAAAGACGGUCGCUCAACGAUUGCAGUGCCAUUGAUACUGGUAGACUUGAGUGAGAUUGAGGUAGCUGGAAUGGAUAGUGUAGCGGUGAAAUGCAUAGAUAUUAUCCAGAACACCGAUUGCGAAGGCAGGUUACUAAGUCUUAACUGACGCUGAGGCACGAAAGUGUGGGGAUCAAACAGGAUUAG